UACGAAGGGGGCUAGCGUUGCUCGGAAUCACUGGGCGUAAAGCGCACGUAGGCGGAUCUUUAAGUCAGGGGUGAAAUCCUGGAGCUCAACUCCAGAACUGCCUUUGAUACUGAGGAUCUCGAGUCCGGGAGAGGUGAGUGGAACUGCGAGUGUAGAGGUGAAAUUCGUAGAUAUUCGGAAGAACACCAGUGGCGAAGGCGGCUCACUGGCCCGGUACUGACGCUGAGGUGCGAAAGCGUGGGGAGCAAACAGG
RNAcentral lists this ribosomal RNA (253 nucleotides) under uncultured bacterium. RNAcentral's name for it is "partial 16S ribosomal RNA". It matches the Rfam family "Bacterial small subunit ribosomal RNA", at positions 524 to 776 of the family's 1533-position model. The record is from RNAcentral.